UGGGGCUGUGGCUCAGUGGUGGAGUGCCUGCCUCGCACCCAUGAGGCACUGAGUUCGAUCCUCAGCACCACAA
RNAcentral lists this transfer RNA (73 nucleotides) under Marmota monax (woodchuck). RNAcentral's name for it is "tRNA.Ala". It matches the Rfam family "tRNA". Rfam says of the family: Transfer RNA (tRNA) molecules are approximately 80 nucleotides in length. Their secondary structure includes four short double-helical elements and three loops (D, anti-codon, and T loops). Further hydrogen bonds mediate the characteristic L-shaped molecular structure. tRNAs have two regions of fundamental functional importance: the anti-codon, which is responsible for specific mRNA codon recognition, and the 3' end, to which the tRNAs corresponding amino acid is attached (by aminoacyl-tRNA synthetases). tRNAs cope with the degeneracy of the genetic code in two manners: having more than one tRNA (with a specific anti-codon) for a particular amino acid; and 'wobble' base-pairing, i.e. permitting non-standard base-pairing at the 3rd anti-codon position. The record is from RNAcentral. Lineage: Eukaryota; Metazoa; Chordata; Mammalia; Rodentia; Sciuridae.